AGGUCAAGUUACUAAGAGCGCACGGCGGAUGCCUUGGCGCCAAGAGCCGAUGAAGGA
This 57-nucleotide ribosomal RNA is filed under the name Bacillota bacterium. Its description in RNAcentral is "Firmicutes bacterium (anaerobic digester metagenome) partial 23S ribosomal RNA". Lineage: Bacteria; Bacillati; Bacillota. The record is from RNAcentral.